RNAcentral lists this RNase P RNA (377 nucleotides) under Phytoactinopolyspora halophila. RNAcentral's name for it is "Bacterial RNase P class A". It matches the Rfam family "Bacterial RNase P class A". Rfam says of the family: Ribonuclease P (RNase P) is a ubiquitous endoribonuclease, found in archaea, bacteria and eukarya as well as chloroplasts and mitochondria. Its best characterised activity is the generation of mature 5'-ends of tRNAs by cleaving the 5'-leader elements of precursor-tRNAs. Lineage: Bacteria; Bacillati; Actinomycetota; Actinomycetes; Jiangellales; Jiangellaceae. The record is from Rfam by way of RNAcentral. RNAcentral also lists the same sequence under 1 other name.
CGAGCUGGCCGGGCGGCCGCGUCGACGCUGUGUGCAGCGUCGCCGAGGAAAGUCCGGACUCCACAGGGCAAGGUGGUGGGUAACGCCCACCCGGGGUGACCCGCGGGAAAGUGCCACAGAAAGCAAACCGCCGGCAUGCCCCGGCAUGCCGGUAAGGGUGAAACGGUGGUGUAAGAGACCACCAGCGUCUUGGGUGACCAGGACGGCUCGGCAAACCCCACCUGGAGCAAGGUCAGACAGGAAGCGUUCGAGGGUGGCCCGCCCGAUGCUUCCGGGUAGACCGCACGAGGCUGUCGGCAACGGCAGUCCUAGAUGGAUGGCCGCCGCUCCCGCAUCGUCGGGAGGCACAGAAUCCGGCUUAUAGGCCAGCUCGUCCU